Molecule: ribosomal RNA, 444 nt
Filed under: uncultured bacterium
Lineage: Bacteria
Description: bacterial SSU rRNA
Rfam family: Bacterial small subunit ribosomal RNA
Source: RNAcentral
GUGAGGAAUAUUGGUCAAUGGCCGGAAGGCUGAACCAGCCAAGUCGCGUGAGGGAAUAAGGCCCUAUGGGUCGUAAACCUCUUUUGUCAGGGAGCAAUGAGGUCCACGUGUGGACUGACGAGAGUACCUGAAGAAAAAGCAUCGGCUAACUCCGUGCCAGCAGCCGCGGUAAUACGGAGGAUGCGAGCGUUAUCCGGAUUUAUUGGGUUUAAAGGGUGCGCAGGCGGCGUGCCAAGUCAGCGGUAAAAAUGCGGUGCUCAACGCCGUAUAGCCGUUGAAACUGACAUGCUAGAGUGAGCGAGAAGUAUGCGGAAUGCGUGGUGUAGCGGUGAAAUGCAUAGAUAUCACGCAGAACCCCGAUUGCGAAGGCAGCAUACCGGCGCUCAACUGACGCUCAGGCACGAAAGUGCGGGGAUCAAACAGGAUUAGAAACCCCAGUAGUCC